UUGAAUUAUAUAAAUCAUAAAUAUAAAAUAAUAUUUUAUAGAGUAUAUGUAUUAUUUUUUUAAUAUAUGUAUUAUUUAUAUAAUAUAAAUAAUUAUUUAUAAAUAUAUGUAAAAAAUUCGGUUCUACGGUUUGGUCCGGAUCAGUACAAGACGGAUCGGUUCUGGUACGGUUAUGGUAGGGUUUUUGCUAAAGAACCAGUACCAUACCGUAAUAGUAAAAAAAUUCAGAUCGGUUCAAUUCGGUUAUAAAAACUUUCGAUUUUUUCGGUUCUGGUACUUUUUGGUAUUGUUAUUCGGUUCAGACGGGAAUCAUCGAGAUCCAUGCUCAGCCCUAGUCUAGAUAUGUAAAUAUCCUUGUCAAAAUCUCACUGGAAGCUAUCAGAUCGAUGCCGAAAAGCUUCCGCUAUGGUGAGUCAUGGAUACAGCUUCCGGCGAUCAAAAAAUAGAAGGAAAGGGUUGUCCUUAGGUUUUUGAUGGUGAGGAGUCCAUUUUCGAUGUUAGAUAUUCAAAAUAAGGCCGACAAGAGGCUGACCCAAUGGUGGCUGCCGAAGUGCAGCUCCUCCACCUACUUCUUUGAGUAUUUUGGCAAGCUAAAGGAGAAAGAGGGUGAUGCCACAAAAGGAGGAGGAAAUGAUGGUGUUUUACUGGCUGGAUGGUAAAGGGGAAAUGAUGAAAAUGGUGGUAUGAGGGAGGGAGUGGUUAUACAGCAUGGGAGAGGAAGAAGGAGAAGGUGGGUGAGACUUUUUUAGUUUAUUAUUUUAUAAAAGAUUACAUUUUGGUCAUUCUAAUUAAGCCUAGCUACCAAAAAUCAUUAUUCUUAAUAUUUUUAUCCACUUUCCUCAUAUAUAUAUAUGAAUAUGUAUACAUCUAUAAUUAUUUAUAUCCCAAACUAACCAACUUUAAUUUAGGUUCAUUAUGUAUUUUAAAAAUAAAUGUACAUGUUAGAAUUUUGACUCAUUUAUUUAAAAUAAAAAAAACUACAUUUACAACUCAUCAAAAUACUCCCGAAAAUAAAUAAAAUUAAAAUCCAAAAAUUACGAGUAUUACAAUAAACAAAUAAGGAAGUUGACUUCCAAAUCCAUCUAUGAAUAUGUAGUGUAAAAGCUUCUUUAUGAAAUCUGAGAAACGCCAGUCAUUAGUAAAAGUGUACCAGUGAUUACCCGGGUGGCGAUUUCCAUCUUCGUGCUAGUCUUAGUGACUAGUUAGUUUGUUUCCAAUUAGGUUGAAAAGCCUUAUAGUAUCGUAGUCGCUAAAGACACUUGGGUGCGUGCCCGAAACCGCCACCAGUAGUUUUCUAAAAUUCUACCACAUGCUUUAUUACAUUUUACUACGAGUUCUAUAUUUCCUCACAUUGUUAAUUUUUACCCUAAAGACAUGCAUAUAUUACAUAACUAUCACAUUGUCAGUACCCCUUUUCUAGAUCUAGAUAUUGAGGGAAAAAUAGAAAAUCCUACGAUGAAAGUUACUGCCUUCUUGGGUCUUGGGAGGUGAAGGACAGAUGAAUCUGAGGCAAGGAUCAAGGUUAAUCCAACUAGUAUUACCUUUUUGAAAUCAAUUUGGACCUAAUUAUCAGAAAAAUUAAGUUUGAGGGUCAAAACGGUAGUUUUUACAAAUUCAGGGACCUAAUUGCAAGUUUUUCAUAAACGUUUAUGGUGUAGAGCCAAUCGGCUAUAUAUAGAGCUGAUUUGGAUAUAUGUAGAGCCGAUUUGGUUGUAAGUAGAGCACAUCAGCUGUACAUAAAGCCAAUCGGCUCUACAUAGUGCCGACUGAUAUUUUUGCAAUCUGACGUUUUAUUUUAUGAAAAUUUCACAUCCAGAUACAGGUUCUAGAAGGUUUCCUUGAUGAUAAUCAUUGUUCUAUCAAUAAUAUUUAUAUUUUAAAAAUAAAGUGAGAUAUUUAUCGAUAUAUUUCUAAAAUCUAUCGUUUUCUCUAGGGUUUCACUUGAAACCCUACCUCUAUAAAUAAAAAGAGGUGUUUAGGAUUUUGAGGGGGGGUCAAUAAUUAAAAUCGGUCGUAAGUGGUAUUAAGACUUGAGAGACACUAAGAAAGAAAGAAUAGGGAGAAAAUCCAGAGAGAAGAAAAGGAAAAGUAUUGUUGUUCUUAGUCGUCGUUAGAAGAUCCAAGCCACUAAAGAAUGAACCAUUUUAGGAAACAAGCCACUGAAGAAGGAUCAUUUUUGGAAACUAUUUCUAAAUAAACAGAAGGUUUGUCUACAUUAGAUCCAACACUGGAUUCCUAUCCAAUCUCUGAUUCAACUGCAUCCUCAUCGUUUGAGACUCGUAGAUCUAACAUUCAUGGUGACAACCUGAGGGUUCCUUCUACCAUACAUCUGUAUUCAUUAUAAAAUCAGUUUUUUCAUUCCUUAUCUUAUUUUUUUUAUUAUUUGCUCUUACAAAUUAGGAUUUGAUCUAUGAUAAAUAUGAUUAGAUUAGAUUUUUCUUUAUAAAUAUGCAUGUUAAUAAGGUUUUGAAUAUGAUAAUAAGAAAUUAGGGUUUUGAAAUCUGACAUUUUGCCAAUUAAGGUUUUAGAUUUAAUUAGAAAUAUGUUAUAGGAUUUAUAUUUAGAUUUAUUUGUCAUUAUGAUUAAGUAAUUAAACCUAUUAAGCAUGAUUCUUUUGUUCUGAUUUGCCUUCUAUUAGUUAAUGAUAUUUAGGGUUCUUAGUAAUUUAGGAUUUUGAUUGCUUAAUCGACUUUUGUUUCUUUAUUUUUUUAUGUAUUUUAAUCUAUUUUCUCUCAUUCUAAUUGAUUUUUAACGUCUAUGCAUGUAAAAUUCAGCUCUGGCGAUGUGAAAUUGUAUUAAUGAUUGAAGAAAUCAACUUGGGGACCCUAGAGCUGAUAGGCUCAAUGAAGAGCCAAUUGGCUCUAUAUUAAACCGAUUGGCUCUUCAUAUAGAGCUUAUUGAUUGUUCAAGCCAGACACCCAUUUUUGUGUAAUUUUGGUGAUUUUUUGUGUACUUUUAGCCUCUGUAUAGUUUUUAGGUCUUUCUUUCCGCAAUCGUAGUUGUAGGCCGAGUUGUAAUAAUUAAGUUUUACUUUAUGCUUUAUUUUGUUUAUUUUUGUUCAUUGUAUGUUAAUCAAAUAUAUGAUUAUAUGAUUGAUUGAUUAAAAAUGGGCCACAUAGACUUAGACUAAAAAACUGAUCCAACAUGAAUCUAGUAGUCUAAUAGGCUAAUCAACUUUAACUGGGCCUAAAACCCUAAAAUCCAAGUAGACUAGCGAGCCUUGGCAUGUUUAGUUAGGGCUUGAACUUAGUUAGGGUUAAGAUCACAAUGAACUGGCCUUCUUAAAAUAAGUAUUCCAUUAAGCUUAAAGGUUGAAAUUCAUGAGCAUAAUUGGCAAUUGGGCUAGAUUAGAUGAGCCUUGUAUAUAAUUGACUAGUAAGCUAGAUUAACAACCUAAUAUGGGCUGGGUUUGAAUAAAAUGGGCUAGAUUUAGGUGUAUUAUGUGUUGUUUUGGCAUGUUUAUGUAUAAAUUGCUUGCAUUUAUAGGGAAUAAUUUGUUAAACAAUUAAAUUAAAGACUAAUACACACAAAUAAGGAAGUUGGCUUCUCGAUCUAUCUCUGGAGUCUAUGGCAUAAGCUUCCUUAUAGAAUCUGUUCAUUAGUAAAAGAGUCCCAGUGAUUCCCCGGGCGGUGACUCCUAUCUCUACACUAGUCUCAGUGAUGAGUUAGCGUGCUCCUAAUUAGGUUGAAAAGCCUUAAGUGCCGUAGUCACUAAAGAAACUUUGGUGCACACUCGAAACCAUCGCCUACACCCAUUCAAGUAAAAGAGUAGGAAAAUUAAAGGCGUACUCGGCCCGCACUUUCGCCUUGCAGUGUGCUGACACGGUCACUAGGAUCAGGGUCUUCAUCCAGUCACAAGGGAACUAAUGAUCACGCUGCAGCCCCACUACAGUCGGCUCUUCUGGGACCACCAUUAGGUGCCCGUGCACCCUCGACAGUUGCCAGCUUGAGUCCUAACACACCAAAAGCUAGUUAGCAUCUUGAGCUCUGUCCACCAUUUUCUUUUGAAAAUCUUCAUAAAAUGAGGACUUUAGAAAGUAUUAGAAGUUGAGAUAAAAGAUAAAUGCUAGGAGCAAAGAAUGUGACAUAUGAUGGUGAUGUCUGACUCUUACAUAGGCUAUCGGGAACAUCCUCACCUCGCACGAGCUCAGUUUUGACCUCGUGCAAGGACAAGCUUAAGUUAUCAUAAGCUCAGGCCUGAGCAUACACGAGGACAUGUUUGAACUCCCGCGAGGAUAGUCUUGACCUCGCACGAACUCACUCCUAGCCCAACCCAACAAGUUACUUAAAUGUGCUUUCAUUUUUUUAAGAGGCCCAACGGUCUCACCUUAUAUAACCUUCGCAGGGCUCGCCCUAAGGCCACUUCUCUUUUUUAGGUUCUUCUACACGUGCUCCCCGGUUGUACGUUGCUUCACUUCAGUCCAUCCUCGUCCCUCAUAAAGAAAAGGGGCAGGAUGCAACCGCAUCCCACCAACAAUAUUAUUUUACUUCUAAGAUGGAGAGGGUUAUUAGAGUAUGCCCUAAAGACAAAGAGUUGUCAGAUGAUUUAUAUUAAUUUGUACGUUAUAAUUGAUAGCGUACAAUUACACUAAAGGCAUUGCUCGACUCUAAUGGUACAAGUAUUUAAGUAUUAUCAAGGACUAAUCUAAACUGUUAGAGAUGAACACCGUGAAAUGUAAACACAAAUGUAAAAGAAAUUAUAAAGCGAGUUUGUAAUGAUGAGGUUCUCAUUACAUACAUUUCUAAACUUUGUACAUAGUCGAUGUUUGAUCAAGAAUUAGAUAUUUAUCGUUGGAUAUUGAUCAAAUGCUCGAGACUACCAUAAUGUGUCAUCACUUACUUAUGAAAUAAGAAAUCUGUCUCAUAAGGUUACGGAAUAGGAAUCCCGAGAUAAGCAUAUGGGUACUUGUUAUAAGAACAAGUUCAUUGAACGUGAUGGCACUGAAUAGUCCAUAUGGAAUUUAUCCCAAGUGCCUAUAGGCAAUCCUCUUGUGACAAUCAUGUAAGACGUGAUCCUUAGACUUGAAAUAACAGUGUAUUAUCUUAUAUGAGGAUUAUUAUACUUUGAUACUAUCUUAUGUUCUCCUAUCCAUGGAGCGCUCAAGGGACAGUCAUUGGGUAUAGUAAGAUUCAUACAAAGAUAAAUAAGUUAUCAAUAAAGAAUUCAUUGCCCAAUAAUAUGUCAUGGGACCUUAUCCUAAUGAUCCUUGAUAUGCUUUAACAUGGAAAUCCUUAGCCAUAGUUGUUUGAAUAAAGAUUAUGAAAAGUGUUUCAUAGAUCUUGUUCAAGAUGUUAUAUGCAAUUAUCAAAA
This 5311-nucleotide long non-coding RNA is filed under the name Ricinus communis (castor bean). RNAcentral's name for it is "long non-coding RNA (RCOM_LNC000645)". The record is from RNAcentral. Lineage: Eukaryota; Viridiplantae; Streptophyta; Magnoliopsida; Malpighiales; Euphorbiaceae.